UCGGGAAUUUUGGGCAAUGGGGGCAACCCUGACCCAGCAACGCCGUGUGAGGGAUGAAGGCCUUCGGGUCGUAAACCUCUGUCGGAAGGGAAGAAAGGUCGCUGUUCAAACAGGGCAGUGGCUUGACGGUACCUUCAAAGGAAGCACCGGCUAACUCCGUGCCAGCAGCCGCGGUAAUACGGAGGGUGCAAGCGUUGUUCGGAAUUACUGGGCGUAAAGCGCGUGUAGGCGGCUUGGUAAGUCGGAUGUGAAAUCCCGGGGCCCAACCCCGGAACUGCAUCCGAUACUGCCUCGCUCGAGUCCUGGAGAGGAUGGCGGAAUUCCGGGUGUAGAGGUGAAAUUCGUAGAUAUCCGGAGGAACACCAGUGGCGAAGGCGGCCAUCUGGACAGUGACUGACGCUGAGACGCGAAAGUGUGGGGAGCAAACAGGAUUAGAUACCCCCGUAGUCC
Molecule: ribosomal RNA, 450 nt
Filed under: uncultured prokaryote
Description: bacterial SSU rRNA
Rfam family: Bacterial small subunit ribosomal RNA
Source: RNAcentral